AUUCCGGUUGAUCCUGCCGGAGGACAUUGCUAUUGGGAUUCGAUUUAGCCAUGCUAGUCGAGCGAGUUUAGACUCGCGGCGAAUAGCUCAGUAACACGUGGCCAAGCUCCCCUUCAGUCAGCGAUACCCUCGGGAAACUGAGGUUAACAGCUGAUACAAAACGCCAGCUGGAAUGCGGCGUUUCAGAAAGACAUCGCUGAAGGAUGCGGCUGCGGCCGAUUAGGUAGACGGUGGGGUAACGGCCCACCGUGCCAGUAAUCGGUACGGGUGAUGAGAGUCAGAGCCCGGAGACGGAAUCUGAGACAAGAUUCCGGGCCCUACGGGGCGCAGCAGGCGCGAAACCUUUACACUGCACGGAAGUGCGAUAGGGGAAUCCCAAGUGCGAGGGCAUAUUAGCCCUCGCUUUUCUCGACUGUAAGGUGGUCGACGAAUAAGAGCUGGGCAAGACCGGUGCCAGCCGCCGCGGUAAUACCGGCA
RNAcentral lists this ribosomal RNA (477 nucleotides) under uncultured haloarchaeon. Its description in RNAcentral is "bacterial SSU rRNA". It matches the Rfam family "Archaeal small subunit ribosomal RNA", at positions 1 to 481 of the family's 1478-position model. Lineage: Archaea; Methanobacteriati; Methanobacteriota; Halobacteria; Halobacteriales; Halobacteriaceae. The record is from RNAcentral.